This 50-nucleotide ribosomal RNA is filed under the name Phyllosticta citricarpa. RNAcentral describes it as "partial 28S ribosomal RNA". The record is from RNAcentral. Lineage: Eukaryota; Fungi; Ascomycota; Dothideomycetes; Botryosphaeriales; Phyllostictaceae. RNAcentral also lists the same sequence under 2 other names.
CGGAUCAGGUAGGGAUACCCGCUGAACUUAAGCAUAUCAAUAAGCGGAGG